AUUGAACGCUGGCGGCAGGCCUAACACAUGCAAGUCGAGCGGUAACACAGAGGAGCUUGCUCCUUGGGUGACGAGCGGCGGACGGGUGAGUAAUGCCUGGGGAUCUGCCCGAUAGAGGGGGAUAACUACGGGAAACUGUAGCUAAUACCGCAUAACGUCUACGGACCAAAGUGGGGGCUCUUCGGACCUCAUGCUAACGGACGAACCCAGGUGGGAUUAGCUAGUUGGUGAGGUAAUGGCUCACCAAGGCGACGAUCUCUAACUGGUUUGAGAGAAUGACCAGUCACACUGGAACUGAGACACGGUCCAGACUCCUACGGGAGGCAGCAGUGGGGAAUAUUGCGCAAUGGGCGCAAGCCUGAUGCAGCCAUGCCGCGUGUGUGAAGAAGGCCUUCGGGUUGUAAAGCACUUUCAGCGAGGAGGAAGGGUUACUAGCUAAUACCUAGUGACAUUGACGUUACUCGCAGAAGAAGCACCGGCUAACUCCGUGCCAGCCGCCGCAGUAA
Molecule: ribosomal RNA, 506 nt
Filed under: uncultured bacterium
Lineage: Bacteria
Description: partial 16S ribosomal RNA
Rfam family: Bacterial small subunit ribosomal RNA
Source: RNAcentral